AGAACGAACGCUGGCGGCAGGCUUAACACAUGCAAGUCGAACGGUUGUAGCAAUACAGCAGUGGCGCACGGGUGAGUAACGCGUGGGAACAUCCCUUUCAGUUCGGAAUAACCUCGGGAAACUGAGGCUAAUACCGGAUAUUCUCUUCGGAGGAAAGAUUUAUCGCUGAAAGAUUGGCCCGCGUCAGAUUAGCUAGUUGGUGGGGUAAUGGCCUACCAAGGCUCCGAUCUGUAGCUGGUCUGAGAGGACGACCAGCCACACUGGAACUGAGACACGGUCCAGACUCCUACGGGAGGCAGCAGUGGGGAAUAUUGGACAAUGGGCGAAAGCCUGAUCCAGCCAUGCCGCGUGAAUGAUGAAGGCCUUAGGUUGUAAAGUUCUUUGCCAGGAAGAUAAUGACGGUACCUGGAGAAUAAGCACCGGCUAACUUCGCGCCAGCAGCCGC
Molecule: ribosomal RNA, 445 nt
Filed under: uncultured bacterium
Lineage: Bacteria
Description: SSU rRNA
Rfam family: Bacterial small subunit ribosomal RNA
Source: RNAcentral